AGGGUUAGGUGUAGGGUUAGAUUUUAGGGUUGAUUAAGGGUUAAGGUUAGGGUUAGGUAUAGGGUUAGAUUUUAGGGUUGAUUAAGGGUUAAGGUUAGGGUUAGGUAUAGGGUUAGAUUUUAGGGUU
Molecule: long non-coding RNA, 127 nt
Organism: Astyanax mexicanus (Mexican tetra)
Lineage: Eukaryota; Metazoa; Chordata; Actinopteri; Characiformes; Acestrorhamphidae
Exons: 3
Source: RefSeq, a predicted model, not a curated record